AUAGAGACUCAGAGCUGCAUAUCAAUAAGCGGAGGAAAAGAAACUAACUAGGAUUCCCUUAGUAACGGCGAGUGAGGCGGGAAGAGCUCAAAUUUGAAAUCUUCAAGGUUCUACCUUGACGAAUUGUAGUUUAAAGAAGUGUUUUCUGUUGGAGUUUUGGUAAAAGUUCUUUGGAAUAGGACAUCAUAGAGGGUGAGAAUCCCGUAUUUGACCAUUUCUUCCAGCUGUGUGAUACACUUUCGAAGAGUCGGAUUGUUUGGGAAUGCAGUCCAAAAUGGGUGGUAAAUUUCAUCUAAAGCUAAAUAUUGGCGAGAGACCGAUAGCGAACAAGUACCGUGAGGGAAAGACGAAAAGAACUUUGAAAAGAGAGUUAAACAGUACGUGAAAUUGUCAAAAGGGAAGCGUUUGACACCAGUGUUGUUUUCUCGAAAAUCAAUUAAAAAUGACCGGAUUUUGUGUUGUAUUGACUUUAUCAGCUUUCUGCACUUUUUUCUUGUCUUUUUUAAUGCACUUUUCGUUUAACAAGUCAACAUCAAUUUCUUUUGUUGUAAAAGAGUCAUUGGAAGGUGGCUUUCUUUUCGGAGAAAGUGUUUAUAGCCUUGUAGCCUCUGCAAUCGGAGAGAUUGAGGUCUGCAGCGUAGAUCCUUCGGGGUUAGAUACGUUAGAUGCUAAGUUAUAGCUUUUUCAUAGACAACUUGUUGACUAUGAUUUAAUCAUUGUAGACUUACUCGCUUACUGCUAUUUUACCUACGCUUAGGAUGUUGAAGAUAUGCGCGACACG
This 781-nucleotide ribosomal RNA is filed under the name uncultured Neocallimastigales. RNAcentral describes it as "partial large subunit ribosomal RNA". It matches the Rfam family "Eukaryotic large subunit ribosomal RNA", at positions 23 to 644 of the family's 3401-position model. The record is from RNAcentral. Lineage: Eukaryota; Fungi; Neocallimastigomycota; Neocallimastigomycetes; Neocallimastigales.